Molecule: ribosomal RNA, 298 nt
Filed under: Comamonadaceae bacterium OH2545_COT-014
Lineage: Bacteria; Pseudomonadati; Pseudomonadota; Betaproteobacteria; Burkholderiales; Comamonadaceae
Description: partial 23S ribosomal RNA
Rfam family: Bacterial large subunit ribosomal RNA
Source: RNAcentral
UUACCGAAGCUGUGGAUACCUUUAUAGGUAUGGUAGGAGAGCGUUCUAUGUGUGAUGAAGGUAUACCGUGAGGAGUGCUGGAACGCAUAGAAGUGAGAAUGCCGGUAUGAGUAGCGAAAGACAGGUGAGAAUCCUGUCCACCGUAAGACUAAGGUUUCCAGGGGAAGGCUCGUCCGCCCUGGGUUAGUCGGGACCUAAGGAGAGACCGAAAGGUGUAUCCGAUGGACAACAGGUUGAUAUUCCUGUACUAGAGUAUGUAGUGAUGGAGGGACGCAGUAGGCUAACUAAAGCAGACGAU